CAGGCUGGAGUUCAGUGGCUGGAUAUAAUCUAGGCUCUCUGCAACCUCCGCCUCCCAAGCUCAAGCAACUCUCAUGCCUCGGCCUUUGGAGUAGCUGAAAUGACGGGCACCUGCCACAUGCCUGGAUAAUUUUUGUAUUUUUAGUAGAGAUGGGGUUUUGCCAUGUUGGCCAGGCUGGUCUCAAACUGCUGACCUCAAGCGAUCUGCCCACCUCA
This is a long non-coding RNA of Sapajus apella (tufted capuchin), 215 nucleotides long. RefSeq lists it as uncharacterized. Lineage: Eukaryota; Metazoa; Chordata; Mammalia; Primates; Cebidae. The record is from RefSeq and is a predicted model, not a curated record. The transcript is spliced from 3 exons.